This 330-nucleotide unclassified non-coding RNA is filed under the name soil metagenome. RNAcentral describes it as "partial contains 5.8S ribosomal RNA, internal transcribed spacer 2, and large subunit ribosomal RNA". The stretch from base 1 to 120 matches the Rfam family "5.8S ribosomal RNA", at positions 35 to 154 of the family's 154-position model. The record is from RNAcentral.
GAUGAAGAACGUAGCGAAAUGCGAUAAGUAAUGUGAAUUGCAGAAUUCAGUGAAUCAUCGAAUCUUUGAACGCACAUUGCGCCCCCUGGUAUCCCGGGGGGCAUGCCUGUUCGAGCGUCGUUUCACCACUCAAGCCUCGCUUGGUAUUGGGCAACGCGGUCCGCCGCGUGCCUCAAAUCGACCGGCUGGGUCUUCUGUCCCCUAAGCGUUGUGGAAACUUUCGCUAAAGGGUGUUCGGGAGGCUACGCCGUAAAACAACCCCAUUUCUAAGGUUGACCUCGGAUCAGGUAGGGAUACCCGCUGAACUUAAGCAUAUCAAUAAGCGGAGGA